This is a long non-coding RNA of Schistocerca piceifrons (Central American locust), 1614 nucleotides long. RefSeq lists it as uncharacterized. The transcript has 3 exons. NCBI's taxonomy places the organism in Eukaryota, Metazoa, Arthropoda, Insecta, Orthoptera, Acrididae. The record is from RefSeq and is a predicted model, not a curated record.
CCAAGGCGGAGCGCAACGUUUCAUUCUAUCUUGUUCUCCGCCAGUGCGUAGUGUGAACGAGGGAUCAUGGUUGAGUUACUACAACUUGGUGAGCCGAAGAAUUAGCAAUUGUCCAUGCUGUCAACAUUUCUCAGACGAGAUAGACGAUGUACCGGCAUUUUAAUGGGAGCCAUGCAGAGAAGCAGAUGGGUGCCGUGCUGCCAGCCAGCCAGCCAGUCAGUCACAGGAAACAACUUCAACACGCCGAAAUUGCUGAAUGGUUCGGCGCAGCUUGUGGCCGCGUGGGCGCCACCCCGACACGCCGUCACUGUUACAGCGGACAGGAUGAAAACCCCAGCAGUCCCUGACACGCUGCAUUCAAAGUGACGUUCUGUAACAAUUGCUUCGCUCUGUACGACAUUGUCGACAUUCAGCCGAACUUCACUAACUCUGCUGUUAAUGAACUAACAUGAAAUGAAACAAUGGAAAAUCCAAGAUGGAAUGUAACAAUACGAGAGAAGGGAAGUUGCUACUCACCAUUUAGCACAGAUGCUGAGUCGCGAUAGGCACAAUAAAAAGAUUGACACAAUCAUAGCUUUCCGACAUUAAGGCCUCUGCAGUUUAGACGGAGGGUAGGUGAGAAGGUGUAGAGUGGGGGACGGGGUAAGUAGGAGAAAGGAGAGAAAUAAAAAUAAAGGAAAUUAAGACUGGGUGUGGCAGUGAAAUGACGGCUGUGUAGUGCUGGAAUGGGAACAGGGAGUGGGCUGGAUGGGUGAUGUCAUGAACAUAAAGAUCUGAGUGCAGUCUCUUCGGAAGGUCAAUCUAUCUGAUGAAACCUGUGAAAUAUUUAUGUCAAAUUUGAGGGUGCAGAGAGCACCAAAGGGAAGAUCCAAAGGACUGUCGAUAUGCCCCAUCAAUUCGAAAGUAUUCUCUCUCAAUAAUCCAGGAAAGCAUUCUGUCGAAGUGCAACCUGAAAAAUUCUGGACAUUUUAUCAUGGUUUCCCAGAACAAUCCCCCUAAGUGUCACACAAGUAAGUAAAAAGGACUGAGAAAAGCCUCCAAAGUGAGUAAAUGAAUUUGGGGACACAUUUUUUUUGAUGUAUUUUGUUUCACAGAAACAGCCUAUCAACAAUGUGAAAUUCAAUUUCCGGUCACAUCAUAAGUGCAUUUACUCAUUGUCAUCUGGCACAACGGCAAAAAGAUUUAUCGCCAAUUUCAUUAAACAUGCCCAUUCCAUACCUUUGAAAUUCUGGUACCUCUGGAUUCAAUGUCGACUCCAGCACCAUCAGUUGCCGAACUAUAAGAAAAAACACAAACGCGCGUGCACACGUGCGCGCGCAUACUCCGUGUUGUCACAGCAGCCAUGCCAGAAGUGUCACAACAGAAAUCCCCCCAGAUUUGUAAUCAACAGAAAAACUUUGCAGCAUCGUAAAUCUCAGAAAGCUCAAGUGGGGACCUAGGGGAAAGGGUGGAAGGAGAUGUAUGAAUUAUAUUCAUUUACUAUACAUAUUUCAUAACUGGGAAGCUUUCUGUGUAUGCUAGUUUUAUAGAAACACAGCAGCCAGUCAACUGUCUAUAUGUAAAAUGAUAACAUAGCUUCACAUUCUACUUUGGAACACAGCCAAACUAAGUACU